Molecule: long non-coding RNA, 767 nt
Organism: Mastomys coucha (southern multimammate mouse)
Lineage: Eukaryota; Metazoa; Chordata; Mammalia; Rodentia; Muridae
Exons: 2
Source: RefSeq, a predicted model, not a curated record
GUGACAACUCCUGGGUAGGUAGGCAGGCCUUGGGGACACAGGCAACUGUGGAACCAGGAACAGCGGAGUGUGAGAGACAAGCUGGAGUGGAUAGGAAAGGUUACGGAGGAUUUCUGUCAUGCAAGUCAAGAAGUGGCUGUGUCCUGGGGACAGAGGAGGGCAGGGGCAGUGUGGGGACAGAGUGGGCCAGCACUGAGGCAGUGAGGCCUUUCCUCCCAGGACACUUGGGAGCCAUGUGUAUAGCUGAGCUCCAUUUGUUGGGACUCCACAGAGAGAAACAACACUUGUGGUGGUGGGAUUCAUGCUGCUUCCACGGUCUGAUUGGUCAAGGUCAUGUCAGCUGAGACAGAUGCACAUGCAGAGGCAAGACCCAUGGAGGACAUGUGAUGUUUGAAGGAAGUAUAAACAGGACUCCGCAGACGGUGAUGAGGCUGGGCUUGGCUGGCUGGUAGAGCUUCCUGUGCAAGGCUUGUUGGUCUCUUGUCUUCGCUGAUCUUCACUUUGCUGCAAGAGGCACAGGGUUGAACUUCUCCUGGUGUUCCUCCUGGUCCUUUCUGCUGACUCACACAGAGGUGGAGGCCUGGCUGUCUCUGCUAGGUAGUGCUACCCCUGCUGAUUUGCUAUCCUGACUCUACUGAGCUGGACUGCUGGUGUAUCUGUGAAGUGUUUGCAAGUGGAUCAAGCUGCUGCUGUUAAGCUGUGAACUGAACUACUGAUUUCCAGACAGCAGAGACGGGAGUUGCUCUAAAGAACCAUUUCUAAACAGG